Molecule: long non-coding RNA, 211 nt
Filed under: Arabidopsis lyrata
Lineage: Eukaryota; Viridiplantae; Streptophyta; Magnoliopsida; Brassicales; Brassicaceae
Description: long non-coding RNA (ALYR_LNC000292)
Source: RNAcentral
AACUUAUCUCUUGCUAGUCCUCAAGCAAGAACUAAGAGACCAUUUUGAGAAAGAGGUUUGAAAGCGGGGAUUUAUUACCACAAAAUAUCAAAUAAAGGAUUCAAAUCAAAGUCCUUAUAGAUAGUUCAAAGUUGCUUAAAUCAAUCAACAUACUCUUUCGUACUUCUCCAUACUCAUUUUAAUGCAUGAUUCUAUUCAAUCUCUAACUAUU